UGAAGUUGUACGCCGCAGUAGCAGAUAAGUCCCUAUGUCUCUCUCAAAUGUUCAAAGUCUCGCCUCGAGACCCAACCCAGCCUCAGGAUUAAAUGGUAUUAUCCAGAAGACUCCAGUCCCACUGUCGUCCCACUCACCUCGAGACUCCCUCCCACCCACUAUUUUCCUCAUCGACGAAACCACUCUCAUAGAAGUCACCGAGACCAUUGCUGCCAUCACAACCACCACAACUGAGUCGCCCUUGGGAGGAAGAAAAAAGGUGGAUUUGUAAUGGAUUUGUAGAAGAAACAGAGACGUCUAUUGAAUUGGACCCGUGAACUCAUCUCGAACCUGCCCGUUUCAAACAAGUCGGGUUAGGUCCGGUUCCAAAUCUCAAAUCCCAAAUCUCAAAAUCUCAAAAUCCUUACUAGAAAAAUCCCUCAGAUUCUAGGGUUGAUGAAUUCAAAUCCCAAUUUGUAAUGGGUUUCAAUUCGGAGUUAAGUGACAUGAAUAUUAGGUCAUCUCCAACCGAUCAAGCUAGAAGGUCAAAGAGCCAAAAAUAGCCCGAAAUCACACAAAAACAAUCUUAAACCGAAGACUAGAUCAAAAGACUCGUAGGUUCCACCGGGCCAAAAAAGAGGAAUCAGGCCAACCGGCUGGCUACUUUGGGCCAGCCAGCUAGCCCGGGCCGGCCUCUCUUCCUCUCGCAGGCAGCGACUCAAGCUUCCCUCUUCCUCCACUCUUCUUCUUCUGAUUCAUCUUCUUUCUCUCCCAUCGAAUAUACAGGGCUCUGUGGUCGUCACCGUCAACGUCGUCGUCGCCGAAGGGGAUAGUGAUAACGGUGCCGGCGCUGGUUCUCACGGCGUCAGUUGCCGCAGUUUUCUUCUUCUUUCUCUUGUCCUCUUUAUCGUUGCCGUGCACUUGCGGCGGUGGUGCUGGUAUUGCGCGUGUGGAUUAUGUCGAUGGACCCAGUGUUGGCGUGGCGAAGGGCGGAGGGCGGAGGGCGGAGGAGGAGAGACGAUAUGGUGGUCGAAGGAGGUGUGGAGUGGGUGAAGGAUCAGAUCCGAGUGAAUGGGUUGCAUAUGCAGGAUAACGUGUUGAGGAAGGGAAUUAACCCUCGCACCAGAGCUCAGCAGCUUGAAGAUCUCUCGCAUUAUAACAUAUGCGCACGUUUGUGGGUCAAAGGAAGUAGUUGGUUUGUAUUUCAUUCGCCAUCUUAAUCCCGGACACUUCCAUUGUCUUGAAAGAGAUGAGCUCUCGCUAAUGGCUGCCUUCAGAUACGAGCUUCCUUCCCAAGGUCUUCUGCACAAGCGCCCUUUGAUUGUGAAAGGCGACAACAUGGACUUGAGCAGAUUUGGGUCCGAUGUUGUGUACGACUUGAUAUAUGCUAGCGCUGUGUUUCCUCAUAUGCCUGAUAAGCUUGUGUGGGUUGGAUUAGAGAGAUUGACAAAUAAACUGAAACCCUAUGAUGGGCGAAUCGUUGUUUCCCAUAAUAUCAAAUUCUGUUCGCAGUUGGGAGGAGACGAGUGUACAAAGCAGCUCACGAGUUUAGGCCUGGAGUAUGUUGGAAAGCAUACACUUGCCAACUUGCUAUUUCAUCACUAUGAAAUCUAGUUCGAGUUUAGGCGGACAAAGGCUUAGAGUUGCAGAAUUUAUUCAUUUUUUCACUGCCUUCCGUCCUAAUUUAGAUACGGGAUGCGAAGCGAUGGGUGGCUGCGGUGCUCUUGUGGUAUUUGUUUUACAUCUUUGGCCACCAUUCUCUGAAGGUCAGGUCUUUUAACCUUCUAUUUAUGAUUGUACUUGUUAGAGUGGCAGAUCGUUUGUGCAGGAGGCUGAGGCCUGUUUUGUAUUUUUGGAUAGGAAAAUUGUAACCUGUAAGAAUUUGAUAACACUUUCUUUGAAUUUAUGUAAGCUUUUCAUUUUUUCUUCA
This is a long non-coding RNA of Pyrus x bretschneideri (Chinese white pear), 1909 nucleotides long. RefSeq lists it as uncharacterized. NCBI's taxonomy places the organism in Eukaryota, Viridiplantae, Streptophyta, Magnoliopsida, Rosales, Rosaceae. The transcript is spliced from 2 exons. The record is from RefSeq and is a predicted model, not a curated record.